Molecule: non-coding RNA, 430 nt
Organism: Danio rerio (zebrafish)
Lineage: Eukaryota; Metazoa; Chordata; Actinopteri; Cypriniformes; Danionidae
Source: Ensembl
UGUCAAUUAAACAUUUUAUUUCUUCAUGUCUUUCAAUGACUGUUGAGUAGGAAGACAGUGAUGCAAAUGCCCAAUGCAUGACUUGCUAUAUUUGUUUCUGGCAGACUGGCAUGAAGCACAUGGGGACAGAGGGGAAGUACACAACUCACCAGUGAGAAGUCAUGAUCAGGUAUUUGCAUUGCAUGUAAAGGAGACAUAAGGAGGUCAAUAAAGAAAAUAAAUGAGAGAACGUUCGAGAAUAGUUCAACAAGCAGAUUGAGAUCUGUAAGUUUGUCAAUGUCAGACAGAGAGAACAUGCGAGUUGUGUCCUAAUAUGCUGUGUUGCUGGUUGGAAAGGGAGGAGGUGUUGGUAGGCACCUUCAGAUAGCUAUUUCUGUAAUGGGAACUCAACAAGGGUCAGUCUAGAUGAACAAGCAGGUAUAUGCUUGUA